RNAcentral lists this ribosomal RNA (234 nucleotides) under uncultured Candidatus Saccharibacteria bacterium. Its description in RNAcentral is "partial 16S ribosomal RNA". It matches the Rfam family "Bacterial small subunit ribosomal RNA", at positions 584 to 818 of the family's 1533-position model. Lineage: Bacteria; Candidatus Saccharimonadota. The record is from RNAcentral.
UAUGUCGGUAGUGAAAGCGUUCGGCUCAACCGAAUAAACAUUACUGAAACUGCUAAGCUAGAAGAUGAGAGAGGUCACUGGAAUUCCCUGUGUAGGAGUGAAAUCCGUAGAUAUAGGGAGGAACACCGAUGGCGUAGGCAGGUGACUGGCUCAUUCUUGACACUAAGGCACGAAAGCGUGGGAGCAAACGGGAUUAGAUACCCCGGUAGUCCACGCCGUAAACUAUGGAUGCUA